CGCUGGCGGCGUGCCUAAUACAUGCAAGUCGAACGGUCUUUCUAUGGAAGCUUGCUCCACUGAGAAGAUAGUGGCGAACGGGUGAGUAACACGUGGGUAACCUGCCCAUAAGAGGGGGAUAACAUCCGGAAACGGGUGCUAAUACCGCAUAGUUUUCUUGAUCGCAUGAUUGAGAAAGGAAAGACGGCCUUUGUGCUGUCGCUUAUGGAUGGACCCGCGGCGUAUUAGUUAGUUGGUGAGGUAACGGCUCACCAAGACGAUGAUACGUAGCCGACCUGAGAGGGUGAUCGGCCACAUUGGGACUGAGACACGGCCCAAACUCCUACGGGAGGCAGCAGUAGGGAAUCUUCCGCAAUGGACGAAAGUCUGACGGAGCAACGCCGCGUGAGUGAAAGAAGGUUUUCGGAUCGUAAAACUCUGUUGUCAGAGAAGAACAAGUUGGAGAGUAACUGCUCCAGCCUUGACGGUAUCUGACCAGAAAGCCACGGCUAACUACGUGCCAGCCGCCGC
RNAcentral lists this ribosomal RNA (510 nucleotides) under uncultured bacterium. RNAcentral's name for it is "bacterial SSU rRNA". It matches the Rfam family "Bacterial small subunit ribosomal RNA", at positions 34 to 518 of the family's 1533-position model. The record is from RNAcentral.